Molecule: transfer RNA, 86 nt
Filed under: Bifidobacterium canis
Lineage: Bacteria; Bacillati; Actinomycetota; Actinomycetes; Bifidobacteriales; Bifidobacteriaceae
Description: tRNA-Leu
Rfam family: tRNA
About the family: Transfer RNA (tRNA) molecules are approximately 80 nucleotides in length. Their secondary structure includes four short double-helical elements and three loops (D, anti-codon, and T loops).
Source: RNAcentral
GCGAGCGUGGCGGAAUGGUAGACGCGCUGUCUUCAGGUGGCAGUGAGCGUAUGCUCGUGCGGGUUCAAGUCCCGCCGCUCGCACGA